CAGUAGCCGCGGGAAUACGAAGGUCCCGAGCGUUGUUCGGAAUCACUGGGCGUAAAGGGAGCGUAGGCGGCAUGGUAAGUCAGAUGUGAAAUCCCGGGGCUCAACCCCGGAACUGCAUCCGAUACUGCCAUGCUAGAGGAUUGGAGAGGUAGCUGGAAUUCUUGGUGUAGCAGUGAAAUGCGUGGAGAUCAAGAGGAACACUCGUGGCGAAAGCGAGCUACUGGACGAUAACUGACGCUGAGGCUCGAAGGCCAGGGUAGCGAAAGGGAUUAGAUACCCGGGUAGUCCCUGUCUCUUAUAC
This 301-nucleotide ribosomal RNA is filed under the name uncultured bacterium. Its description in RNAcentral is "partial 16S ribosomal RNA". It matches the Rfam family "Bacterial small subunit ribosomal RNA", at positions 509 to 807 of the family's 1533-position model. The record is from RNAcentral.